UGAGUUUUUGAAGUAGCAUGUAAAGGUCGCUUGAUUUAAAUUUACUCAAAAAUGAUUUGACUUAUAAAAUCUAAGUAAGAUAAACAGCAUAGCAUUUAUUGUAAGGCUGAUAUCAAUUUAGCGUAAGACAGUAGCCUACGUUUGUGCUUGACUUCGGUUUUUUAACUGUAUUAGUGAAAAUACUUAAAACAAGAAUCUAUCAAGGGAACGAUUUUCACAACUAAGAAAAUGCACUUCUUUAAUUUAGUUUGUAAACCGAACCGUUACACCCCCACACCAGUAGGGGGGCUCUGCUCUGAGGAGACCGAUUCCCGCGUUAUGAAGAAAACGCUACGGGACCAGGACCACGCUGCACAGCUCGGCUAGCUCACGGAAAGAUGAAUCUGUUCCACAAACAAGAAAGCAUUCCCUUACAGGGCGUGUGUCUGGAAUCCCUGUCCAGCUGGAUGGGUCUAACGCAAGCUCAGCAUGCCAUUUUAGCUUGGGACCCAGUUGAUGGGACAAUGGUAUUUAAUUGGAUUUUUCCAAUUAAAUACUAUUGCACGGCAAGGAACUUGAGAGAAACUUUAAACAGCAGAACAUCAUCACACAAAGGGAGGUGGCUCAGCCAUGGAGACGGAAAUGAGAACCAUGAGGACAUCAGUUACCCGCAUGGCACAGCGGAUGGAAACAUUUGAGGAGAAGAUGGAGGAGCUGCUCCUGCUCUUCUGGAGCUCCCCGUCACCUCCCUCUGCUCCGGUCGAUGACAUGUUGCUGUCGCCCUGCUCAACAGUCACAGAGCUGUAAGUGGUCAACAGGAGAAAAGGAACUAAAUGCAACUUUUCCUGACAAGCCUUGGAGGAUCAACCGGAUGUACUGCCAUCUGUUGCAUGCUACGGCGAGUGGCAACCAAUGAUGAAAACAGUAUAGCCUGUGGGGCAAAGAAGGCCUUCCAGGACCUGAGAAUCUUCAGGGUUAUAACAGGCAGGUGUUAUUUUAUUGUUCACAUCAGUAUUCUGCUUAUCUUGGCUGAUAAUGUUUUAAUUUGACUAGUAGUCAACUAGUAACUUUGCUUCAUUUUGACUUCUACUCUAGCGGCCUCCCAGAAAAACUUUCUCGCGCUGAAGUUUGCCUCACACAGACGGUCAAUUGAAAUUCUUCUAUGUAAUGUUCAUAUUGUUAUUAUUGAUAAUAAUCAAACUAUCAAUAUUUGUGAUCAGAAAAAAACAGGGUUGAUAGUAAGGAAAUUUGUCUUGCUUUUGUCAACUUGUACAGUCUUAGUAUGACAUAUCAAAUUUUUGUUUGUUUCUUUUUAGGCCAGCUGAGAAGGACUGAGCCUAAAUGUUCAUUCCUAAUGAAAACCUUACCGUCUAUAGCCACGAGAGGGCGCUCUAGGCUGGUGACAACUCAAUGCUGCUCCUAAAGACAACGGAGAAAGACUGAACGCAAACUAAAUGCCCCAAAAAAGAAAUCCUUGUCUCCAGAUUAAAAACUGCAGGUGGUAAAAUAUACACAUAUAUCUAUCUAUCUAUCUAUCUAUCUAUCUAUCUAUCUAUCUAUCUAUCUAUCUAUCUAUCUAUCUAUCUAUAUAUAUAUAUAUAUAUAUAUAUAUAUCUAUAUAUCUCUAUAUCUAUAUCUGCACUGUAGCUGGGCUUUAACGGUCCUGACGUUACCUGUCCGUGCCUCGCGUCGUGUUUGAACUGUCCCUGAUAGACGUCUCCGUAUCUAUCUAUAUAUAUCUAUCUAGAUCUAUCUAUCUAUCUAUCUAUCUAUCUAUCUAUCUAUCUAUCUAUCUAUCUAUCUAUCUAUCUAUCUAUCUAUAUAUAUCUGCACUGUAGCUGGGCUUUAACGGUCCUGACUGUUACUGCUAAUAAACACGACGUUUAUUCAGUUCAUACUUUUAUUCAUGCACAGCUAGCUUGGACCACGUGUCCACCAUGAA
Molecule: long non-coding RNA, 1921 nt
Organism: Etheostoma spectabile (orangethroat darter)
Lineage: Eukaryota; Metazoa; Chordata; Actinopteri; Perciformes; Percidae
Exons: 5
Source: RefSeq, a predicted model, not a curated record